This 367-nucleotide ribosomal RNA is filed under the name Halopolyspora algeriensis. RNAcentral describes it as "bacterial SSU rRNA". It matches the Rfam family "Bacterial small subunit ribosomal RNA", at positions 1 to 366 of the family's 1533-position model. Lineage: Bacteria; Bacillati; Actinomycetota; Actinomycetes. The record is from RNAcentral.
CCGUGAUGGAGAGCUUGAUCCUGGCUCAGGACGAACGCUGGCGGCGUGCUUAACACAUGCAAGUCGAACGCUGAAGCCCCUUUCGGGGGGUGGAUGAGUGGCGGACGGGUGAGUAACACGUGGGCAAUCUGCCCCGUACUUCGGGAUAAGCCUCGGAAACGAGGUCUAAUACCGGAUAGGACAUCGUGUCGCAUGGCGCGGUGUGGAAAGUUGCGGCGGUACGGGAUGAGCCCGCGGCCUAUCAGCUGGAUGGUGGGGUCACGGCCCACCAUGGCGACGACGGGUAGCCGGCCUGAGAGGGUGACCGGCCACACUGGGACUGAGACACGGCCCAGACUCCUACGGGAGGCUGCAGUGAGGAAUCUUG